RNAcentral lists this ribosomal RNA (490 nucleotides) under uncultured bacterium. Its description in RNAcentral is "partial 16S ribosomal RNA". It matches the Rfam family "Bacterial small subunit ribosomal RNA", at positions 30 to 507 of the family's 1533-position model. The record is from RNAcentral.
AUUGAACGCUGGCGGCAGGCCUAACACAUGCAAGUCGAACGGUAACAGGAAGCAGCUUGCUGCUUCGCUGACGAGUGGCGGACGGGUGAGUAAUGUCUGGGAAGCUGCCUGAUGGAGGGGGUUAACUACUGGAAACGGUAGCUAAUACCGCAUAAUGUCGCAAGACCAAAGAGGGGGACCUUCGGGCCUCUUGCCAUCGGAUGUGCCCAGAUGGGAUUAGCUUGUUGGUGGGGUAACGGCUCACCAAGGCGACGAUCCCUAGCUGGUCUGAGAGGAUGACCAGCCACACUGGAACUGAGACACGGUCCAGACUCCUACGGGAGGCAGCAGUGGGGAAUAUUGCACAAUGGGCGCAAGCCUGAUGCAGCCAUGCCGCGUGUAUGAAGAAGGCCUUCGGGUUGUAAAGUACUUUCAGCGGGGAGGAAGGGAGUAAAGUUAAUACCUUUGCUCAUUGACGUUACCCGCAGAAGAAGCACCGGCUAACUCCGUG